RNAcentral lists this ribosomal RNA (485 nucleotides) under uncultured Rhodocyclaceae bacterium. RNAcentral describes it as "bacterial SSU rRNA". It matches the Rfam family "Bacterial small subunit ribosomal RNA", at positions 897 to 1382 of the family's 1533-position model. Lineage: Bacteria; Pseudomonadati; Pseudomonadota; Betaproteobacteria; Rhodocyclales; Rhodocyclaceae. The record is from RNAcentral.
AAACUCAAAUGAAUUGACGGGGACCCGCACAAGCGGUGGAUGAUGUGGAUUAAUUCGAUGCAACGCGAAAACCUUACCUACCCUUGACAUGCCAGGAAUUCUGCUGAGAGGUGGAAGUGCCCGAAAGGGAACCUGGACACAGGUGCUGCAUGGCUGUCGUCAGCUCGUGUCGUGAGAUGUUGGGUUAAGUCCCGCAACGAGCGCAACCCUUGUCGUUAAUUGCCAUCAUUCAGUUGGGCACUUUAACGAGACUGCCGGUGACAAACCGGAGGAAGGUGGGGAUGACGUCAAGUCCUCAUGGCCCUUAUGGGUAGGGCUUCACACGUCAUACAAUGGUCGGUACAGAGGGUUGCCAACCCGCGAGGGGGAGCCAAUCCCAGAAAGCCGAUCGUAGUCCGGAUCGGAGUCUGCAACUCGACUCCGUGAAGUCGGAAUCGCUAGUAAUCGUGGAUCAGCAUGUCACGGUGAAUACGUUCCCGGGUCUU